AUUGAACGCUGGCGGCAGGCUUAACACAUGCAAGUCGAGCGGAGUGAUGGUGCUUGCACUAUCACUUAGCGGCGGACGGGUGAGUAAUGCUUAGGAAUCUGCCUAUUAGUGGGGGACAACAUCUCGAAAGGGAUGCUAAUACCGCAUACGUCCUACGGGAGAAAGCAGGGGAUCACUUGUGACCUUGCGCUAAUAGAUGAGCCUAAGUCGGGUUAGCUAGUUGGUGGGGUAAAGGCCUACCAAGGCGACGAUCUGUAGCGGGUCUGAGAGGAUGAUCCGGCACACUGGGACUGAGGCACGGCCCAGACUCCUACGGGAGGCAGCAGUGGGGAAUAUUGGACAAUGGGGGGAACCCUGAUCCAGCCAUGCCGCGUGUGUGAAGAAGGCCUUAUGGUUGUAAAGCACUUUAAGCGAGGAGGAGGCUCUUUUGGUUAAUACCCAAGAUGAGUGGACGUUACUCGCAGAAUAAGCACCGGCUAACUCUGUGCCAGCCGCCGCGGUAA
RNAcentral lists this ribosomal RNA (503 nucleotides) under uncultured bacterium. RNAcentral describes it as "partial 16S ribosomal RNA". It matches the Rfam family "Bacterial small subunit ribosomal RNA", at positions 30 to 523 of the family's 1533-position model. The record is from RNAcentral.